This 460-nucleotide ribosomal RNA is filed under the name uncultured bacterium. RNAcentral describes it as "partial 16S ribosomal RNA". It matches the Rfam family "Bacterial small subunit ribosomal RNA", at positions 338 to 795 of the family's 1533-position model. The record is from RNAcentral.
CCUACGGGAGGCAGCAGUGAGGAAUAUUGGUCAAUGGGCGUAAGCCUGAACCGGCCAAGUCGCGUGAGGGAUGAAGGUUCUAUGGAUCGUAAACCUCUUUUAUAAGGGAAUAAAGUGUGGGACGUGUCCUGUUUUGUAUGUACCUUAUGAAUAAGGAUCGGCGAACUCCGUGCCAGCAGCCGCGGUAAUACGGAGGAUCCGAGCGUUAUCCGGAUUUAUUGGGUUUAAAGGGUGCGUAGGCGGCCUUUUAAGUCAGCGGUGAAAGUCUGUGGCUAAACCAUAGAAUUGCCGUUGAAACUGGGAGGCUUGAGUAUGUUUGAGGCAGGCGGAAUGCGUGGUGUAGCGGUGAAAUGCUUAGAUAUCACGCAGAACCCCGAUUGCGAAGGCAGCCUGCCAAGCCAUGACUGACGCUGAUGCACGAAAGCGUGGGGAUCAAACAGGAUUAGAUACCCCUGUAGUC